AUGCGAGAUUCAGAGCAUCGACCGUGGACUUUGAUCGUCGUCGAGUUCCGGUCGGACGUGGAUGGCAGCGAAUGGCGCGGGUUCCACUCGCUGCUCCGAGCUCUCACCGGCGCAGGGAGCAAGGUGGUGAUCAUAAGCCGGCUCGAGAGGCUAGCAAGGUUUGGAACCGUGAACCUCGUCCGGAUCAACAGCUUCUCACGAGAGGAAUACGGCUACCUUUUCAAGGUCCUCGCGUUCGGGAGCUCCGACCCGGCGGACCACCCGCGGCUGGCCCUGAUAGGGAAGGAGCUGGCGGCGAUGAUGGAGGGGUCGCUCGUGCAUCUGAACGUCUACUCAAGCAUGCUGAGGAACAACCUGAAUGUCCAGUUCUGGAGCCGCGUUCUGAAGCUGUACAGAACGGUCAUGGAGGCGAACCUGUCCGUCUUCGGUGAGCAUCCGAGAGCUCUUCUUGACAAAGGCAGCACCGUGGACAUCACCAGGUUUUCGCCGUCGGCGGCGGCGGCUGCCCCGCUUCGGUUCAUGUUGCUGAUCGGUGGAAGGGGCUCUUCCGGACCAGGACCAGGUGAGUUCCCCAGGAUGACAUUUGGAGAUAUAAUAUCAGGCUCUGUUGUUCUGCCCAUGAAGUUUGAGCUGGUGUGGGAGUCACGGUUGCCCCCGUACACCGUUAUUUCUGGCACCUGUGUCGCAGAGAAGCCUCAACACUCGGCUUCACCGAGGAAGAAACGCCGUACAUAA
RNAcentral lists this ribosomal RNA (735 nucleotides) under Triticum aestivum (bread wheat). RNAcentral describes it as "partial small subunit ribosomal RNA". The record is from RNAcentral. Lineage: Eukaryota; Viridiplantae; Streptophyta; Magnoliopsida; Poales; Poaceae.